AUUGAACGCUGGCGGUAUGCUUAAGACAUGCAAGUCGAACGGUAACAGGUUAAGCUGACGAGUGGCGGACGAGUGAGUAACGCGUGGGAAUCUACCUUGUAGUGGGGGAUAAGCCAGGGAAACUUGGACUAAUACCGCAUACGCCCUAAGGGGGAAAGGCGCAAGUCGCUAUAAGAUGAGCCCGCGUCUGAUUAGGUAGUUGGUGGGGUAAAGGCCUACCAAGCCGACGAUCAGUAGCUGGUCUGAGAGGAUGAUCAGCCACGUCGGGACUGAGACACGGCCCGGACUCCUACGGGAGGCAGCAGUCGGGAAUAUUGGACAAUGGGGGAAACCCUGAUCCAGCAAUACCGCGUGUGUGAAGAAGGCCUGCGGGUUGUAAAGCUCUUUUGUCCGGAAAGAAAAGCAAUCGGUUAAUACCCGGUUGUUCUGACGGUACCGGAAGAAUAAGCACCGGCUAACUUCGUG
Molecule: ribosomal RNA, 465 nt
Filed under: uncultured bacterium
Lineage: Bacteria
Description: bacterial SSU rRNA
Rfam family: Bacterial small subunit ribosomal RNA
Source: RNAcentral